Non-coding RNA from Triticum aestivum (bread wheat), 135 nucleotides. The record is from Rfam. NCBI's taxonomy places the organism in Eukaryota, Viridiplantae, Streptophyta, Magnoliopsida, Poales, Poaceae.
UAUGUACUCCCUCCGUCUGAAAAUACUUGUCAUCAAAAUGGAUAAAAAGGGAUGUAUCUAGAACUAAAAUACUUCUAGAUACAUCUCCUUUUAUCCAUUUUGAUGACAAGUAUUUCCGGACGGAGGGAGUACUUG